This 486-nucleotide ribosomal RNA is filed under the name uncultured bacterium. Its description in RNAcentral is "partial 16S ribosomal RNA". It matches the Rfam family "Bacterial small subunit ribosomal RNA", at positions 30 to 507 of the family's 1533-position model. The record is from RNAcentral.
AUUGAACGCUGGCGGCAUGCCUUACACAUGCAAGUCGAACGGCGGCACGGGUGCUUGCACCUGGUGGCGAGUGGCGAACGGGUGAGUAAUACAUCGGAACAUGUCCUGUAGUGGGGGAUAGCCCGGCGAAAGCCGGAUUAAUACCGCAUACGAUCUACGGAUGAAAGCGGGGGACCUUCGGGCCUCGCGCUAUAGGGUUGGCCGAUGGCUGAUUAGCUAGUUGGUGGGGUAAAGGCCUACCAAGGCGACGAUCAGUAGCUGGUCUGAGAGGACGACCAGCCACACUGGGACUGAGACACGGCCCAGACUCCUACGGGAGGCAGCAGUGGGGAAUUUUGGACAAUGGGCGAAAGCCUGAUCCAGCAAUGCCGCGUGUGUGAAGAAGGCCUUCGGGUUGUAAAGCACUUUUGUCCGGAAAGAAAUCCUUGGCUCUAAUACAGCCGGAGGAUGACGGUACCGGAAGAAUAAGCACCGGCUAACUACGUG